GAUGAACGCUGGCGGCGUGCCUAAUACAUGCAAGUCGAGCGAACAGACGAGGAGCUUGCUCCUCUGACGUUAGCGGCGGACGGGUGAGUAACACGUGGAUAACCUACCUAUAAGACUGGGAUAACUUCGGGAAACCGGAGCUAAUACCGGAUAAUAUAUUGAACCGCAUGGUUCAUUAGAGAAAGACGGUUUUGCUGUCACUUAUAGAUGGAUCCGCGCCGCAUUAGCUAGUUGGUAAGGUAACGGCUUACCAAGGCAACGAUGCGUAGCCGACCUGAGAGGGUGAUCAGCCACACUGGAACUGAGACACGGUCCAGACUCCUACGGGAGGCAGCAGUAGGGAAUCUUCCGCAAUGGGCGAAAGCCUGACGGAGCAACGCCGCGUGAGUGAAGAAGGUCUUCGGAUCGUAAAACUCUGUUAUUAGGGAAGAACAAAUGUGUAAGUAACUAUGCACGUCUUGACGGUACCUAAUCAGAAAGCCACGGCUAACUACGUG
RNAcentral lists this ribosomal RNA (497 nucleotides) under uncultured bacterium. RNAcentral's name for it is "partial 16S ribosomal RNA". It matches the Rfam family "Bacterial small subunit ribosomal RNA", at positions 28 to 507 of the family's 1533-position model. The record is from RNAcentral.